AGUCGUAACAAGGUUUCCGUAGGUGAACCUGCGGAAGGAUCAUUAACGAAUCGUGCUUUGACGGUGAUUUAUUAUCACGCCAAACAUAUGUGCUCUCCAGGCAACUGGAGGUGCAAAUAUCAUAUAUAUGAUGUAGUGUAUUAUUAUCCAGUGAAUUUAUUGUUGUUUCACUCUGUGAUGCAAUCAGUAUAAUCAAAAAUGACACUUUUAACAAUGGAUCUCUUGGCUCUU
RNAcentral lists this unclassified non-coding RNA (231 nucleotides) under fungal sp. RNAcentral's name for it is "partial internal transcribed spacer region". The stretch from base 1 to 45 matches the Rfam family "Eukaryotic small subunit ribosomal RNA", at positions 1787 to 1831 of the family's 1831-position model. Lineage: Eukaryota; Fungi. The record is from RNAcentral.